GGCAAUCCUCCUGGCUCAGCCUCCUGAGUGUUGGGAUUACAGGUAUACGCAGUGAGAUACUGUGUCAGUUCAGACGCAUGACUAGCGUGAUCACCGUCCUGUGCUGCCGACACUUUCUCCUCCAGGACUAAAGCAGACAAAGAUGCUGAGUAACAAACACCUGGACACCAGCUCGACAGGAACGGUUCUACUGGGGCUGGAGGGCCAGGUAGCUCCAGGCCUCAGUAGACUGCAAGACACAAGCAGCGGAACUUGGACCUUAUCCCGGUGGCAGUGGGAUGCCUCAGAGUGACAUGAACAGGUUUGUGUCUCAACCCUGCUGAUGGCUGCCCUGAGGAUUCACCACUGAAUGCAGCGUCCAGAGGAGAGAGCUAAGCAAGGCAGCUCGUUGAGGCACAGAGAUAACACACUAGAGACAACCGGACCAGAGUGAGGAGGAGGAAGAGCAGCUUAUGAAGAUCCUGGUUUCUGGCAUAGGUGACAGCUGUCAGAAACAAGGGCAGGAACAGAAGAGGAAGAGCAGGAUUUGAGGAUAGAGAACCCGUUCAGUCAUUCAUAGAUGAGCUGCGAGCAUCUGUGGGCCUUUUGGACAUGUCUGCUCUUUAGACACGGCGACCUGGAGUUCAGGACGGAUGGCUGGGCUUGAGAAAUGGAUUUGAGAGUCCCAGUAUGCACAAGAUAGUAGAAGCAGCAGGCAUGCGCGACCUUAUCCAUGCCUGUUUUCAAUAAAAUAAGGUGCAUUUUGUAUUGUAGUAAAAUUCACGUAAGAAUUACCAUACUAGCUGGAUGUAGUGGCAUGUGCCUAUAAUCCCAGCACUCUUGGAGGCUGAAGCAGGAGGAUCACACGUUUGA
Long non-coding RNA from Chinchilla lanigera (long-tailed chinchilla), 852 nucleotides. RefSeq lists it as uncharacterized. NCBI's taxonomy places the organism in Eukaryota, Metazoa, Chordata, Mammalia, Rodentia, Chinchillidae. The record is from RefSeq and is a predicted model, not a curated record. The transcript has 3 exons.